Molecule: non-coding RNA, 3226 nt
Organism: Oncorhynchus mykiss (rainbow trout)
Lineage: Eukaryota; Metazoa; Chordata; Actinopteri; Salmoniformes; Salmonidae
Source: RefSeq, a predicted model, not a curated record
GCACAUGCGCAGUGCACCGCCGGCCUCUGUAGCGAUGCAAAGAUGGCGUCCUCCCUGGCUAUCUGCAAUGCACGUUUACUCAACUCUGUAGGACUGUCUUCUGGCCACCGUCGGGCUUGGUCGCUGCUUGCCUCGGCUAGACAUGGAGAAACCUGUGCCACGGCGAUCUUGGGGAUACAACGGUGCAGGAUAGGGGGCGACUUUGGCUGUUUGAGACCUGAAAAUGCAGUGACAUUGAGACUCACAGGACUGAGGUCCCCCCAUGUUGUCAGCAGUAGUCACUCCUUCCACACUAGCUGCUCCUCAGCUAACAAACAGGACUUGUAUGAUGUUCUGGGGGUGCCUCGCACAGCCACUCAGAAAGAGAUCAAGAAAGCCUACUAUCAGAUGGCUAAGAAGUACCACCCAGACACCAACCAGGAUGACCCUCAGGCCAAGGAGAAGUUUGCCAAGCUGGCAGAAGCCUACGAGGUGCUGAGUGACGAGGUCAAGAGGAAGCAGUAUGACACAUACGGGGCGGCAGGCUUCGACCCCAGCCAGGCGGGAGGGGGGGCGGGGGGACAGCAGUACUGGAGGGCCGGGGGGGCCAGCGUCGACCCAGAGGAAAUGUUCAGGAAGAUCUUCGGAGAGUUCACAGGAGCGCAGGGUUUCGGAGACUUCAACAGCAUGUUUGAACAGAGGCCAGAGUUUGUGAUGGAGCUGACGUUCACCCAGGCAGCUAAGGGAGUGAACAAGGAGAUGACAGUGAACCUGGACGGUGCCUGUCAGAGAUGUGACGGUAAAGGUAGCGAGCCGGGAACCAAGGUCCAGCACUGUCACUACUGUAAUGGCACCGGCAUGGAGUCUAUAAACACCGGUCCCUUCAUGAUGCGCUCUACGUGUCGACGCUGUGGUGGGCGGGGCUCCAUCGUGACCACGCCCUGCGUGAUGUGUCGCGGCUCGGGACAGACCAAACAGAGACAGACCGUCACCGUGCCUGUACCCGCAGGAGUAGACAAUGGACAGACUGUACGUAUGCCAGUGGGGAAGAAGGAAAUCCACAUCACAUUUAGAGUCCAGAGGAGUCCAGUGUUCAGACGUGAUGGGAUCAACAUCCACUCUGAUGUCCACAUCUCUGUAGGCCAGGCUAUUCUGGGGGGCUCUGCCCGGGCACAGGGACUCUACAACACCAUAGAUAUACAGAUCCCUCCAGGUUGCCAGGCCGACCAGAAGAUCCGUGUUCAGGGAAAGGGGAUCCAGAGGAUGAACAGCUAUAGUUAUGGAGAUCACUAUGUUCACAUCAAGAUCAGAGUACCUAAGAAGUUAACCCGGCGACAGCGCUCCCUGCUGCUGAGUUAUGCAGAGGAGGAGACUGACGUGGAGGGGACUGUCAACGGAGUCACUGCUGCUACCACAGGUGGGGGCAGGAGUGGUCAGAGCUCUGAGUCUGGGGCAGGACAGGGCAGAACAGAGGGGCAGGAGAAGAAGAAAGAAGAAGAAGAGGAGGGCGGCAUCCUUUCCAAAAUAAAGAAAAUGUUUAGCUGACAGCCACACCUCAGAGUGGGAGCUGAUCAAGGGGUCGGAAAUGUAGAUAUUGCCAGAUGUAUGUUCACUCUCCGAGGAACAGGCCGUGGAAGCUUAAUUGCUGGGUAAAGUGUCCAUAACCAGAGAUUCCAUAUGUGGAGGACCUGCUUUAUCAGGAGAAUCAUCUGGAAUCUGGAAACACUGACAAUGGGGUCACUGUUCCUGACAUCCCAUAUGCCCCCUGUCUACUGAGAAUCUUGCUGUGCUGCAACGUCAAGUGAACCCAACCACUGGACAUAUACAGCUCUGGAAAAGAUGAAGAGACCACUGCAAAAUGAUCCGUUUCUCUGGUUUUACUAUUUAUAGCUCUGUGUUUGGGUCCAAAUUUCACAGUGGGUGCGAGACACUGUGGCUUGUAGGCCUCUCCAGGUCUCGCACCCACUGUGAAAUUUGGUUGUCCUGUAAGAAAACUUGCUUCCUUCUGCGCUGACAAUGUUCCCCAACUCUGAGGAUUGGUUUUUCCAGUAGGACAAUGCUCCAUGCCACACAGCCAGGUCAAUCAAGGUGUGGAUGGAGGACCACCAGAUCAAGACCCUGUCAUGGCCAGCCCAGUCUCCAGACCUGAACCCCAUUGAAAACCUCUGGAAUGUGAUCAAGAGGAAGAUGGAUGGUCACAAGCCAUCAAACAAAGCCGAGCUGCUUGGAUCUUUGCGCCAGGAGAGGCAUAAAGUCACCCAACAUCAAUGUGAAAGACUGGUAGAGAUCAUGCCAAGACGCAUGAAAGCUGUGAUGGAAAAUUAGGCUUAUUCCACCAAAUAUUGAUUUCUGAACUCUUCCCAAGUUAAAACAUUAGUAUUGUGUUGUUUAAAAACGAAUGUGAACUUAUUUCCUUUGCAUUAUUCAAGGUCUGACAACACUGCAUCUUUUUUAUAUUUUGACCAAUUGUCAGUUUCUGCAAAUAAAUGCUCUAAAUGACAAUAUUUUUACUUGGAACUUGGGAGAAAUGUUGUCAGUAGUUUAUAGAAUAAAACAAACAUUUUAAUUUUACCUUAACACAUACAGUACCUAUAAAUAGUAACACAUACCUAUAAAUAGUAACACAUACCUAUAAAUGUACAUGCGUGCUCUUCAAUUAGUUAUGAGCCUCCAGCCUUUUUAGGUGCAGUCCUCCCACACUAUGUAGGAUAUUGUUUUAAGGGGGGGAGGGUGAAAGGAUAGCAGGCCCUGCUGUCAAAGUGAGAGAGUAGGCUAUUCUGGAUAGAGCAGGUACUUUUGUGUAGUCUAUUUCUUGUGAGGUUUUCUGUCCUCAGAUGCAGAGAGCUGUGAAAGCCUGUCUGCAGAUGAAGAGGUCGAAGGGCAGCGGUUCUCAGUCCUGUUCCCAUGGGACUCAAAGGGGGGCACAUUGUUGUUUUUGCCUUAGCACUACACAUCUGAUUCAAAUUAUCAAGUCAUCAUCAAGCUUCAAGGGGUAUUUAUCUAUUCAUUUGUGACGCUAUCCUUGAUCUGAUCCUGCUAUUGUCACAUCCUACACAAGCACAUGCAUCUAUCUAUCCAAUGUUAUCAUGAUUUGUUAUAAGGGAUACUACACUUAUAUUAUACAGGAAAUAUUAUUAACGAGAUGCUUUACAUUGAGAUACAGAUAGAGAUGUAGUAGUCCCAGAGUUAAUGAUCCAAGGUCAGCUUUGCAUUUCACCUCCUGAUGACUAUGAUGACUGACCGUGUU